This is a long non-coding RNA of Drosophila mojavensis, 2573 nucleotides long. RefSeq lists it as uncharacterized. The record is from RefSeq and is a predicted model, not a curated record. Lineage: Eukaryota; Metazoa; Arthropoda; Insecta; Diptera; Drosophilidae. The transcript is spliced from 2 exons.
AAGAGAAAAAAAGACAAAACAGCUGUGCUUUUAAAACAAAAGCAACAAUUAGAAAAAAAAAGAAAGAAAAAAAUCCCAUAUAACGCAUAUAUAAAAGCACGCAUAAAACCUGUCCGACCAGAACCACCGACGAAAGUGGUUGUAGAUAAGAAAAGAUACAUGUUUAUGAAUAUAUUCAUAUACCAUAUAUUAAUUAGCUGAAUUUAGUCACAAGCUUUGUUUUUAUUAAAAAAAACAAAAGCAAAACAAAGUCGCAGUUAUGCACUUCUGGCUCAACAAAAAUAAAAAAUAAAAAAAUUAAUAAAUUAAAUUUAAUUUAAAAAAAGAUUUUCUAUGCAAAAAAAAAAAAAUAAAUAAAAAAAUUCACGAAUCGGAAGGCUAACACUAGUAUUAGUCAGACGGACUGUUUAGCGACGUUUUGUCAAUGGAAUGCCAAAGCUUGUGGCAUUAGAACUAGCAAGGUUAGCAGCGGAAGGCAGUAGCCCUGCCACGCCCCCAACCGAGACUUCUGCAAGACUGACCUAUGCUAACCGAAUUCGAAAUACGUUACAAAAUCAAGGUGUAGGCGGUGCAAAAAAAAAAAAACAAAUUUGAGUUUUGUUAUUUAGCUUGGCUUGGCUUGACUCUCGGCUGGUUUUGGAGCGCGUGCCAAGAAAACUGAAACAAGACCAACAUAAUAACCCAGCCAUAAUGAGUGAAGUGUUAACCAUUGUUAAAGUGUUUUUGCUGCUGCUGCUGCUCAAAGGUAACAAUUGCACUCAAAAGUACUACGACCCAAUUUGAACCGGUUUGUAUUUUCCAUUUUUGCUCAUUGUCUUUGGCUCAGUAUAUGCGUGUGUGUGUGUGUGUGUGUGUGUGUGUAGAUUAGUCAAGCGUUUGGCUGUUUGGUUAGCAACAAUGCUGUCAAACUUUUGCUGGCCGCAACAUUGUUGCCAAGCAUUUGUUGCCAGGCAAAUUAUGAAAUGCGCCGUCGCCACGACCCUCACACACACACACACACACACGCCAAAUUAUUAAUAAUCAACUAAUUUGAGGCGGGACAGACAUGGCAAUUCGAACUAAAACUUUAAUAUACGAGCACACACAUACAUACUUUCUCCACACGAAAAAAAAACAGCCCAGAGCGCAGCUUCCAUUUUAUGUGCAAAUUAAAACCAAGUUUAAAAAUUGUAAAAAAAAAAAAAUAACUUUGGUUGGCUCACACAGCUAACACAGAUACAACAACAACUACAACAACAAAACGUAGGCAAAAAACAGACGAAAAAUAAGCUUGGCUUUGAUUUGGGUCAUUGCACAAUGGUAACGAGAGCGUCGACUAAAUUUAGUAGCGCCAAAUAACUUUGGACACGAAGAGUUCAGCAGCCCCCGAAAAAAGCGCACCCAGCACAAAAAAAAAAAAGCUCAAUUUUUGAACAGCCUCGGAUGUAAUUAUUGCAAAUGGCCUGGAAACUGUUCAGGCUAGAGCUUAAAUAGCUUCCCAAAAAUAACAACAAUAAAAAUUCCAAAACGAAACGAAGCAGAAAACAAGAGUGCUCUAGUGGGGAGGGCUUGACUAGAGGAUACGCUAGAGUACAUGUGGAGAAACUAUAUGGACAUGACAUUAAGCAACAGGCAAAGGAUCUAUAGACUGGAGUUUUUCUCAGUUUGGGUUGAAAAGAACUUGCCUUGAAGCUAUAGGAGAAUACUUAAGUGAAGCUCAUACAAAAUACAGAAGUUCAAUAUCUAUUUUAUAUCACUUAUCGAUAAUCAAUAUAACAAAGUUGAUUUUCGUGUGGUUCGCACUUCACAAUAAUCCUAAAUUCAAGUCUUUAGCUCUUAAACAAGUUUGAUCAAGUCAACUUAAAUAAAAAACUUCAUCCCAUUUUUGCUGCAUACAUCAUACCCAUUUCCCACCACUUUUAGGGUAUCGAAAGAAGAUCGAAAGCUGUGUGUUUUGCCUGAAGUAUGUACGUUAAAAAAAAUGAGAGUGAAGCUCCUUCGACAACCAGUUUCGAUAUGUGGACUUUAAGCAUGAAAUACCCAAAAGAAAAAACAACGCAAACAACGUUAUAUUUCUUGGUAUUAAAUUCCAAGAAGUAUACGUCAUUGUGGGAAAUUUCCAUCGCUCAAAAUUCGCACAAAUUUUUGAUUUCAUAUAACUGCCAAUUUGGAGUUUUUAUGAACAAGUGAAUGCAUUAAGUGCUAAGGUCACUCAUCUACAUAUAAUGCAUAUGAUUAAGCGUCGACUAGCAAUUCCUACAAAUUUUCAUCAUAUAAAAGGAGCUGAAGAUUUGAGUCUAUAUUGCUACCAAGAAUACAUUUAUGUUUAGCUACAUUUCUUUAGAAAUUCAGGCAGGAAGUUUCACCAAAGACAACUUUAUAUUAACAAAAAAUUUUGGUAUAUAUACCUAUAAGUAUGAUGAAUACAAACAUAUAUAAACACAUAUAAUUCAGUAGGAAUUGAAUCGAUAUAAAUACCCAAAAGUGAAAUAAAAAUUCCACACAAUGCCUAGCUCUAGACAGGAAGUUGAUCGAUUUUUUAUUAGAUAUGUAAAUCGUUUAUAAAACAAAUAAAACUGCAUAUUUUAAGAACA